Molecule: ribosomal RNA, 220 nt
Filed under: uncultured bacterium
Lineage: Bacteria
Description: partial 16S ribosomal RNA
Rfam family: Bacterial small subunit ribosomal RNA
Source: RNAcentral
GCAAGUCGAACGAGACCUUCGGGUCUAGUGGCGCACGGGUGCGUAACGCGUUGGAACCUGCCCAAAUGUGCGGAAUAACUCAGGGAAACUUGAGCUAAUACCGCAUGAUGCCGAAAGGCCAAAGAUUUAUCGCCUUUGGAUGGGCCCGCGUCGGAUUAGCUUGUUGGUGGGGUAAUGGCCAACAAAGGCGACGAUCCGUAGCUGGUUUGAGAGGAUGAGC